AUGGCCCUCCUCGCCACGACCCCACUCCUCGCGCCCCUCGCGCUCUCCCCGGCCCCGAUCUCCGCCUCCCAGAGCUCCCUCCUCUUCCUGCGCGCCCCCGCCCCCGCCCUCCUCUCGCUCCGCUCCGCCUCCCCCGGCGCACGCCUCCUCGCGGCGGUCGCGUCCAAGGAGCCCGAGCUCGGCGGCGGCGGAUCCGAAGGCGGUGACGGUGCGGGAUCUGGGAGGGGAGGCGGCGGGGGAAGUGACCCGCAGGGAGGCGGGGACGAGGGGGAGGAGGGGAAGAUGGGGGACGGGCUCUCCAUGUCGCAGAAGCUCACCCUCGCCUACGCCGCGCUCGUCGGAGCUGGUGGAGUGAUGGGGUACAUGAAGAGUGGAAGCCAGAAGUCAUUGGCUGCAGGAGGCAUAUCAGCCCUGGUGCUGUUCUUCGUUCACACUCAACUCCCAGUGAGACCAGUCUUUGCGUCGGCGAUCGGGUUAGGUAUAUCAGCUGCACUGCUGUCAGUCAUGGGAUCUCGCUUCAAGAAGUCCGGAAAGAUAUUCCCAGCUGGCGUUGUGUCCCUUCUUUCCUUGGUCAUGGUUGGCGGCUACGCCCAUGGGAUUAUGCGUAGCUCGCAUGCGUGA
Molecule: ribosomal RNA, 621 nt
Filed under: Triticum aestivum (bread wheat)
Lineage: Eukaryota; Viridiplantae; Streptophyta; Magnoliopsida; Poales; Poaceae
Description: partial small subunit ribosomal RNA
Source: RNAcentral